CCCUGUACUGCGAGGGGAGAGGUACGGUCGCACAUUAAUUAUUUCUCCCCUCACCCCCCGUCGCCGGGUCUCUCUACCCCCUACCACACGAGUCAGCCACUCACCCACACGAACGGCAUCGGGAACGGGCUAGAAACCAAUCUCUCUUUCUCUUUUCCUCCGUACUCCCUUCCCUAGAAAUAUCUCUCUCACUUGUUUCUCUCUCUCUGCGGAUUUUCCCGAAUUUCGUCUCCGUACUUCUCUCCCUUUCCCUCACUCCUCCCUCGCACCCUUAUGCCCUACGGGAAAUCGAUUUUUCGACGGAGUCCCCACUGCCGGCCUUGCCGACCAGAGGGACGAAGGAGUUGCAAUGUUUUUGCAACGUAUUUCAUAUCGUCCACGCAUCUCGUAAUUACUAUUGUAUCAAGAAACCAAGCGCGACCUCUAGAUUGUCUUAAUGGCCAAAGAAUUAACUAGUUCACGGAGUUUCUCUCGGAUCUCCCGCCUUGCACACUUUCCAGAUCACGUGACGGUGUAAGGAUCUCUAAACUCGAGAAUUUAUGUCAACAUUUUUCAUUCACGUUUUAUGAUAUUACUGUUUUACUAAUGGGGAAAUAAUAUAUGAAAAAUAAGUAAUGUAUAAUUGCAUUG
Bombus pascuorum is the source of this 630-nucleotide long non-coding RNA. RefSeq lists it as uncharacterized. The record is from RefSeq and is a predicted model, not a curated record. Lineage: Eukaryota; Metazoa; Arthropoda; Insecta; Hymenoptera; Apidae. The transcript has 2 exons.